This 355-nucleotide unclassified non-coding RNA is filed under the name uncultured bacterium. Its description in RNAcentral is "contains 16S-23S intergenic spacer region". The record is from RNAcentral.
UCCGGGUUAAACCCGGCGGUCCCGCCAGACAUGGUAACUGGCAGCGAGGGUUGCGCUCGUUGCGGGACUUAACCCAACACCUCACGGCACGAGCUGACGACAGCCAUGCACCACCUGUGCAGGCUCCGAAGAGGGCCCGCUUUCACGGGUUUCACCCUGCAUGUCAAACCCAGGUAAGGUUCUUCGCGUCGCAUCGAAUUAAGCCGCAUGCUCCGCCGCUUGUGCGGGGCCCCGUCAAUUCCUUUGAGUUUCAAUCUUGCGAUCGUACUUCCCAGGUGGGAUACUUAAUGCUUUCGCUCAGACACACACAGUGUAUCGCGUAUGUCGAGUAUCCAUCGUUUACAGCGUGGACUAC